This 414-nucleotide ribosomal RNA is filed under the name uncultured prokaryote. RNAcentral's name for it is "bacterial SSU rRNA". It matches the Rfam family "Bacterial small subunit ribosomal RNA", at positions 505 to 918 of the family's 1533-position model. The record is from RNAcentral.
GUGUCAGCCGCCGCGGUAAUACGGAGGGGGCUAGCGUUGUUCGGAAUUACUGGGCGUAAAGCGCACGUAGGCGGUUUGGCAAGUCAGGGGUGAAAUCCCCAGGCUCAACCUGGGAAUUGCCCUUGAUACUGCCUGACUAGAGUCCGGGAGAGGGUAGUGGAAUUCCCAGUGUAGAGGUGAAAUUCGUAGAUAUUGGGAAGAACACCGGUGGCGAAGGCGGCUACCUGGACCGGUACUGACGCUGAGGUGCGAAAGCGUGGGGAGCACACAGGAUUAGAUACCCUGGUAGUCCACGCCGUAAACGAUGAGUGCUAGAUGUUGGGGAACCUAGUUCUUCAGUGUCACAGCUAACGCGUUAAGCACUCCGCCUGGGGAGUACGGCCGCAAGGCUAAAACUUAAAGGAAUUGACGGGG